ACUAGAUGUCAACGAUCUUUAUAAAGUUGUUUGAAGCGUCUAUGAUAAACAGAGAGCAAAUUAGAAUCCAAGGAAGUUGACAUGUCAUCACUUCAUUUUUUUGCGCCUGCGCAUAAAUCUGAGAAACGUGAGUUUUGUCUUCAUUGUUUAUCUCGACAUAGGAUAGGUUGUGUGAAAAUAUUACUGAUGUUUAACGUUAAAAAUGGACCAAAAGAUUAAUGCUAAACAACAUUUGACAUGUUUGAACGAACAUAAAUAGAUUAUUUACUAGGUUUUUUUAGCUUUUCGGCGUGAUUUUACAGUCCCCCACCACGUUUUGUGGGAGCAUAAUGAACGCUAAGUACUUGGUGUUAUUUGGACAUAAAUUAUGAACUUUGUCAAAAGAAACCACAUUUGUUCCGGACCUGGGAUGCCUUCCGGACCUGGGAUGCCUGUCUUCUGAUGGAGAUAAUCAAAGAUGAACAUGGUACCUUCAGGCGUUUGGAAAUUGCUCCCAAGGAUGAACCAGACUUGGCUGAUUUGUUUUGAUUUCCCCAUGAUGUCAAGUUAAGGGGCACUGAGUUUGAAGGCCGGUGGUAGCUGGUCCCCUCUGGACAUCGAGGGGGGCCCGGCGUAUACAGUAUGCUCCAUUCUGGACUCAAGGCGCCGGGUGGGGGGCCUGCAGUACCUCGUGGACUGGGAGGGAUACGGUCCGGAGGAGAGGUGCUGGGUCCGGGUGGGGGACAUACUGGAUCCAUCAUUGUUAGUUGAUUUCCAUCGCCUCCAUCCGGAUCGCCCUGCGCCUCGUCCUCCGGGUCGACCUCAAGGCCGGUGUCGGCGCGCUACGGGAGCCGUGUGUUGGGGGGGGUACUGUCACGACUACUGCCGAG
Molecule: long non-coding RNA, 869 nt
Filed under: Salmo salar (Atlantic salmon)
Lineage: Eukaryota; Metazoa; Chordata; Actinopteri; Salmoniformes; Salmonidae
Description: lncRNA (ENSSSAG00000109110.1)
Source: RNAcentral